GCCCAGCUCCCGCAGGAAAGACCAGGAAAGUCCAGCGCUGCCCCUGUGCAGGGGGACAGAGGGACCUGCAUGAGAGUCAGUUUCGCAUCUGAAAAUGACGGUGUUAAUGCCUCCUUCAUGGUUGUUUUGACACCCAGAUCCAGGUCAUCACUUGUGAAAUACAGAGCAGGUGCCAGGGAGGAAGCACCACGUGGCGGCUGUUCUCUUAGAGGACACGCCACUCCGUUCCCGUCUGUCCUUUUCGUUGUGUGGCCUCCUGCCCCCUCGUAGUCCCCGCAGCGGACCCUGAGCUCAGGCUGGGGGAGCGCUGUGCCCACGCGUGCGCACCGAGGGGAGGGCUGGGGGCUGCACAGACAGGCUUUGCCACAGCACAGCGAGGGGGCAUCUCUGCUGGGGGAGCCUCUCGCCUUCGAUGUGUAAAACACGCCCCACCGGUGAAGCGCAGUGAAGCAAGGUGUGCUCGUCGUGCUGGAACCUCAGGCUUCGUGUAGACGUCACACCUGCCCUCGCCAGCCCGCAGCCCUCACAGGCAGGCACAGCCACCUUCCGGAGGACCAGGGGCAGAAGGGAAAGCGCACAGGUGGGCUGUACCACGUGUGAAAUGGACUCUGGGUUUCCAGUGUCUCUUCCGAUCCCAGGGGCAGGCGGAGGUUUCUGGCCCUUCUGCUCGGUCAGGCUCUUAGGUCUGACAUACAAUGAAUUCUAAGAGUCAGGGCUUUGCCCCUCAGAUGCAUCUUUCUCAGGUCUGUGUUUCAGUUCCCUGGAAACAAGAAACGCCUAUAGGAAGCAGGGCUCUGUGCGCAGUCUCCCCUGGAAGGAGCACCCUCUGACCACAGGCCUCUGGGCGGAGCUUCAGAGCAGAGGCAGAGGAGCCCAGAGAGGAGCAGACCCUGCAUCUGCAAGGUCAGAAGCAGCUCUUGAUGCUCUGGCCAGGAUGGGCCAGUCCUGGUGCUGACACCACCUCCAGAAGCCACCACUCUGUGGCCGGUGGGGGCGGGUGGAGCUAGGUGAGCUGGGUGACCCAGGGGCCAGGGGCUCAGGGAGGGCCAGGUCCUUGGAGAGCUUGUGAGUGAGGCCUGGGGGGCGGGGUAACCAGGCAGCGGGGGGAAGGUCUCCACUUUCCCUAAACAUCCUCCCCCCUUUACAGAUGCUGUGCUGGGGGCACGCUGUCCAUCACCCGGGACACGGCUGACAUCCUGAGCUCACGGGACCCCAGAGUGAGGGACUGGAAGGCUCUUCCAAAGUCAUCAAUUUCUGACUCUUUUGAAGAUUCAUCUUCAAACCUUCAGUGACUGGUCCAGGGAAACUUAGUUUGUGAGUCAGGAGGAAAACAUCGUUCUUCUCUCUCCUACAAAAGGACACGUGCGUUGUUGACAAUGAGUGGAGGAAAGUGUGUGUUCACGAGGCUGCCUCCUCUGAACCUCAGUUCUCCACACUCUCCCAAGAGCCACAGAAAAUGAACGUACCUCAGGUGAGCUCCU
Myotis brandtii (Brandt's bat) is the source of this 1481-nucleotide long non-coding RNA. RefSeq lists it as uncharacterized. The record is from RefSeq and is a predicted model, not a curated record. The transcript is spliced from 3 exons. Lineage: Eukaryota; Metazoa; Chordata; Mammalia; Chiroptera; Vespertilionidae.